GGUUUGAUCAUGGCUCAGAUUGAACGCUGGCGGGAUGUUUACACAUGCAAGUCGAACGGCAGCACGGACUUCGGUCUGGUGGCGAGUGGCGAACGGUGAGUAAUGUAUCGGAACGUGCCUAGUAGCGGGGAUAAUCAGCAGCGUAGCUAAUACCGCAUGGGCCGCCCUUCGGUGGCGCGGGGACCUGGGCCUCGCACUAUUAGAGCGCCGAUAUCGGAUUAGCUGAAGGCGGGGGUAACGGUCACCUCAAGGCGACGAUCCGUAGCUGGUUUGAGAGGACGACCAGCCACACCUGGGACCGAGACACGGCCCAGGGACUCUACGGAGGCAGCAGUGGGGAAUUUUGACAAUGAGGGGAAACCCUGAUCCAGCCGGAUCCCGCGUGUGCGAUGGCUACCUUCGGGUUGUAAAGCACUUUGGCAGGAAGAAACGGCACGGGAUAAUACCCCGUGCAACUGACGGUACCUGUGAAUAGCCAGCCUGGCAACUACGUGCCAGCCGCAUAAUACUGUGAGGUGCAGCGUUAUCGAAUGAUUAGCGUGGUUGUGUGCAGGCGGUUCGGAAGAAAGAUGAAAUCCCAGGCUUAACUUUUGAACUGCAUUUGAACUACCGCGCCAGAGUGUGCCGGAGUGAACUGCGUAGUAGUGAAACAUGUAGAUGAUGCCAUAUGGAGGAACCUGAUAUGAAGGCGUGUCACCCAGAUAGCCACUCACGACGCACGAAAUGUGUAGCAAACAGGCUAGAUACCUGCAGUUCCGGGCCUUGAACGAUAUCACUACGUUGGGCCUUCGAGCCGGUGGCGUAGCACCGUGUUGACGCCCAGAGUACUGUCGGGGAUUGAACCAAGGAAUUGCUGACUUUCACGCUGACGACCAAUCAAUCUGACUGGAAUCGCAGAAAACCUGAUCAAACUGAUGAUUGGAACUCGAAGAGAUUGGUGCUUCAGGCGAGUCAGAACACAGUGCCGCAUGGCUGUCGUGCUGCUGUAUCGAGAGCGAAUGUCCCGCAGAUUCAGCGGCAACCCUUGUCAUUAGUUGCUACGAAAGGCGACUCUGGUCGAGACUGCCGGUGACAAACCGGAGGAAGGUGGGGAUGACGUCAAGUCCCGCGGCCCCAGGGUAGGCUUCACACGUCACAAUGGUCGACAGAGGGUCGCCAACCCGGGGCGAGGUGGUGCCAAUCCCAGAAACCCGAUCGUAGUCCGAUCGCAGUUCGCAACUCGACUGCGUGAAGUCGGAAUCGCUAGUAAUCGCGGAUCGCGCUGUCGCGGUGAAUACGUUCCCUGGCCCUGCACACACCGCCCGUCACACCAUGUGGAGCGGGUUUUACCAGAAGUAGUUAGCCUAACUGUAAGGAGGGCGAUUACCACGGUAGGAUUCAUGACCGGGGUGAAGUCGUAACAAGGUAA
This 1408-nucleotide ribosomal RNA is filed under the name uncultured Bordetella sp. RNAcentral's name for it is "partial 16S-23S ribosomal RNA intergenic spacer". It matches the Rfam family "Bacterial small subunit ribosomal RNA". The record is from RNAcentral. Lineage: Bacteria; Pseudomonadati; Pseudomonadota; Betaproteobacteria; Burkholderiales; Alcaligenaceae.